Microplitis mediator is the source of this 696-nucleotide long non-coding RNA. RefSeq lists it as uncharacterized. NCBI's taxonomy places the organism in Eukaryota, Metazoa, Arthropoda, Insecta, Hymenoptera, Braconidae. The record is from RefSeq and is a predicted model, not a curated record. The transcript has 3 exons.
CCGAGUCUUGGGCCAGUUGUAAUUUGCCAAGCUUUGGGAAGUGACAAUGGGGCCAGACUAGGUCUGAGCCUAGGCCCUAUGGUUCAUUUUGUUCCUCCCAAGCCUUGGGGUAACCAUAGGGCCAAAGCUGGUCCGAGCCUUGGUCUACUCAUUUUAUUACUUUACAUCAAGCUUCGGGAUUAAUCCGCCAGAGCGUGUACUGUCUACUCCGAUAAGCGGUAAACAUAACCUGUAAAAAUAUUUCAAUUUUUCACCAUGUCUCGUCAACGUUACUCUGACUCAAAUUCUUAUUAGAAAGUUAAAAAACAAAGAUAUUUGAAAAAUGUAAGAUCUUACUCUGAAUGGGAGAUACAACAAGUAGCAGUAAUGUUAGUGAAAAAAUAAUGGGAAGUUAUAAUAAAUCUAACAACAAUCACAAUAAUAACAGUGAGCCUGACAUUUCUUUCAGCAACUCAAUUAGUUACGAAAUAACAUUUUCGUCGGGUAGUUUCCAUGUUGAGCCCUUAAAUGAAACGAUGAGCCAGUCCGUGGCCUUAGGGUUUCUAUAUGUGCCCCCAGUCUUGCCGUUCCUGCUGCCUUCCAACACAAAGUGAAUUCGACGGUGAUCAGAAAAAGAAUCUUCUUCGCUCACCCGCCAAUUCGUGACAGACUGUGCAAUCUUAUUAGAGCCCAGCGUGAUAUCAAUCACUUCCUGCC